ACUCCUACGGGAGGCAGCAGUGGGGAAUAUUGCACAAUGGGCGCAAGCCUGAUGCAGCCAUGCCGCGUGUAUGAAGAAGGCCUUCGGGUUGUAAGUACUUUCAGCAGUGAGGAAGGUGGGUAUGUUAAUAGCAUACUCAUUUUGACGUUUUAGCUGCAGAAGAAGCACCGGCUAACUCCGUGCCAGCAGCCGCGGUAAUACGGAGGGUGCGAGCGUUAAUCGGAAUUACUGGCGUAAAGCGCAUGCAGGUGGUUUGUUAAGUCAGAUGUGAAAGCCCGGGGCUCAACCUCGGAAUUGCAUUUGAAACUGGCAAACUAGAGUACUGUAGAGGGGGUAGAAUUUCAGGUGUAGCGGUG
This 356-nucleotide ribosomal RNA is filed under the name uncultured bacterium. RNAcentral describes it as "bacterial SSU rRNA". It matches the Rfam family "Bacterial small subunit ribosomal RNA", at positions 335 to 683 of the family's 1533-position model. The record is from RNAcentral.